GUCAUGGGAGCAGUACCCGUAGCUAUGAUAAUUUAUUUAAUUAAUGCACCUAAAGCAAACUACCAAAAUUCAAAGUAUUUCUACAUGAAUUAAGAUAAUUGAUAUGAGGGCCACAGAAUUCAAUUGUAUGAAUGGCACAUUUAGAUUUUUAAAGGGAAAAGAAUUCAACUAAGAGAGUUACAGAUAUUCGUACUAAUAAACUACGCCACGAGAACCGUACUCGCAACCAUGAUGUUUGAAUUAUGUGCCUAACGUAAAUUACAAGGGGUCACAUUUGAAGCUAAAUUUGAAAUUGUAAAGGGCGGCCAGUUACAAACCUUUAUGAAGAGGUCAAUCAGGCCCUCUUCAUAACAUUAGGCUUAACAUUUAUUUAAAAGCAUUUAUACUGAAAAAUAAAAUGGCCACAGGUGGAAUGCUGGGCCUAACAUUACUGAAAGCUAAGUGACGAAUAAACAUUUGCAUACAUCUUUUAAAUUAAUAAUGUCUAUCCUUACCAAAUAACAAAUAAAUCAACUUAUACAAGAUAAACCAUAUAAAAAUAAUUUAUACAAAAACCCAAAUCGUAAUAGUUCAAUAGCCCUAAGAUCUAGCUAAUUCAUUAAUUAAUAUCCACAAAACAUGUUUAUCCUACGUUAAUGCAGCUACUCCAGUCCAUGAAAUUUGGUAACUCAAAGGAAGCUUGAAUUUGCAAGGCUAGCUACAGAGCUACAACCAUCGUGUCAUAAAUGAAAGCAUCGGUAAUAAGCGAUUAGAAAGAACUUAGCAUUUCAUGAAUUUAACACACAUACAAACUAAAAGAAACACAUGGUCAACAACUUCUUCCAAAAUCAUUUCAACGAAAAAAUAAAGGUUUACUGACUUUCCCACCCUACAAAUCUACAACAACAAACAAACUAGGGUCUAUAGCAAUUCCAAAAAUAUCAAAAGUUAAAUUACGAUGCAUAUAAGUUCAUGUUAUUAUAAUGCUCAUACCACUAUUUAAACUGCUAUAAGCAUUCACAACAAUUCCCAUCCUUUCAGAUCCAUGAAUGUAAUCAAUUAACACUAAUCAAACUUUCCUCGUUCACAAAUCAAACUUGUGCUGACUUGUUUAACUUUCAAUCAUAGAAACUAUAUCUUAAUUAAAAUUAAACAGUCAAAAUAUUAAUUAUAGCUGAUGUAGGAUUCAUGCACAAUAUGCAACAAAAUAGCAUGUAGUCGUAACAAUAAAACACACACACAUUUGCUGCACAAACUGGAUAAAUGCAUAGCUAAAAUAGACCAUAUCUUUUAAUCUAUGUUUCAGGGAAAACCUUGACAAGUAUAGAUUACAUACAUAUAAACAGAUAUUAACAAGAAAGGUGAUGACCAAGUACAUCUAGACUUAAAAGCAAAUAAAGCUUGGAUUGAACAGGAGACAACUGGCAAUGAUUAGCAAACCAUGAUUUUAAAAUUUCACAGUUUCUCAACCCAGAAAAUACCCAAGAAGGCAGUAGAAAUCCAAAACCAGUUUUAUAUAAGCCCUUCUCCUAGUUUUUCCUUUUUAUUUUCUAUUUUCUCUUGCCUUUUUUUCCAAUCCCCUUUUAUAAAGAAGUGUUACUCUUUUUAUAAGGUGUGUGCACUAGUGAGGAAUAAAAAAAUAAUCACCAAAGAAAACUAGAGAAUCUAUCAGCCUCUAAAGGCAUCUUCCUAACAAAAAUAGGACAGUUGGAAGUCUCUUAUUGGUUCCAAGAUUUUGUGCUGGCCAAAAUUAAGCCAGCUGCCCCCAGUUCUAGAAACUUUUUAUGUUAUCCUUCUCUGGAAAAAAACUUGUUUCAUACCCUUCCAAGACCCCUUAAGUUUUUUAUUUGUUCAACUAAGCCCCUCAUAACUUCAAUUUGUUCACAAAACAAAACCAACAAACAAAGCUAAACUGCGCACAAAUCAAAAAUUAAAAAGACCGAAAUAUUUUUGCAAUUAAGUCUUAACUUAAUCCCAACCUUAACUGAUUUUAUUGUGAAUUAAUUUGAAAAGCAACAGGAACAAAAAUCAAUAAGAGAUUGUUAAGGCUGACUAAUCCAGCCAUUGGAUGAAAAUGCAAACAAAUUCUAAUAAACACAUGAAAAUAACCUAAGAUUAAUUUAAAAUCGGAACCAUGAAAGUUAAGACAAUGAUGAAAAGACUAACAGUAAGAGUCCUUACCCCAAAACUGACCCAAGAAAAAUAAAGAUGAUGAACUUCGGUAUCUGGAUGGAAACGAUGAACUUUGAAAGUAAUCUAAUGAGUCUAACCCAAAUUCGGUGGUCUUGAAUGACUAAUAACUAUCGUCAAUCGAUUGCUCUUGUUGAGAGCAAUCUAUUAACGUAAGUUUUUAGUCAUCAAACUUAUGUGAAGAAAAUUGUAAAAGAAAAAUUAGGGCUUUUUUGGAAUCCCUAGAUCUAUAAUUAAGAGUAGUUUGUUUGAUUUUUUAGAGAUUAAUGGUGGCUCAAUGGUGCGGUAGGUGUGAUCAGUGGAUUUGGACGAAAUUUGAGGUCGUUUGGUGGUGUUAGAGUGGCAAUCGAUUGAUGAAGGAUUUAGGGGCGGCAAGGGUUCAUAAGAUGAGAGAGGGAGAUGAAGUGGGAAGUGAAUUAGGGUUUGAGGAGGAACUGUGUUAAGACAAUUAAAUAUAAUUGAUGCCAAG
RNAcentral lists this long non-coding RNA (2638 nucleotides) under Nicotiana benthamiana. Its description in RNAcentral is "long non-coding RNA (NBEN_LNC042257)". The record is from RNAcentral. Lineage: Eukaryota; Viridiplantae; Streptophyta; Magnoliopsida; Solanales; Solanaceae.